RNAcentral lists this long non-coding RNA (731 nucleotides) under Aphidius gifuensis. RNAcentral describes it as "uncharacterized LOC122853272, transcript variant X1". The record is from RNAcentral. Lineage: Eukaryota; Metazoa; Arthropoda; Insecta; Hymenoptera; Braconidae.
UAUAGCUGCGCGAGUGCUUAUUUUACAACAAUUCAAGUGUUUUAAUUAAAUUAAUUAAUUGUUUUUUUGUCACGUUUUGUUUUGUUUAUUUAUUGUUGAUCUACUGUGUGAUAAAUUAUUGUAAAACAUUGCUAUUUUCUCUCAAAAAUUGGAUAUUGUCUGUCGGACAACAACAACAACAAUCAAAAUGGCGGCAAGUACAUACAAAAAAGUGUGAAAAUAUAGCUGAGCAAGUGACAAAGGCUCUUGGUACUCUAUCAAACAAAAAGUGGAGGUAUUAUUGGAUGCUUCAAAGAUAAUUAAGACUGAUUAUUAAAUUGAUAUUUGCUAAAUUAAUAUGUGCUGAUAAUUUUUGAAACAACUACUGCUAAAAUCAAGAUGAAAAGAACAAAAAUAUAUUCACUAUUAUUAUUGAAAUAACAAUCAAACUCGUAUUGAAAUAGAUUGUCAUCAAUAAAUCUAUGAUUAAAGUAUUAAUAAAUGUAGUUGAAAAAAAUUUUUGUGAUGUGCUGACAAAGGUGAAAAUAUGAAAGAAAUGUUUUAAAAAUAAAUUGGCUGUUUUUAUCAAGUUUAACAGAAGAAAAUGAGUGAUGUCAUUGAUGAUGAUUUUGAUUGUGAUAAAAGGUACGUUGGUUUUGGUGAUUCUUCAAAUAAUUGUUGAGGAAUUGAUGAAACAAUUUGGUAAUUUUAAUAUAAAACCUGAUCAAUCAGUCAGAGUAUUUUAUAUUAAA